RNAcentral lists this ribosomal RNA (394 nucleotides) under uncultured bacterium. RNAcentral's name for it is "partial 16S ribosomal RNA". It matches the Rfam family "Bacterial small subunit ribosomal RNA", at positions 523 to 918 of the family's 1533-position model. The record is from RNAcentral.
AUACGUAGGGAGCGAGCGUUGUCCGGAAUUACUGGGCGUAAAGGGCGCGUAGGCGGCGCUUCAAGUCGUCUGUCAAAUGGGAGGGCUUAACCCUUUUUAGCAGACGAAACUGGAGAGCUUGAGAAGCAGAGAGGCAAACAGAAUUCCUGGUGUAGCGGUGAAAUGCGUAGAUAUCAGGAAGAAUACCAGUGGCGAAGGCGGUUUGCUGGCUGCAUACUGACGCUGAAGCGCGAAAGCCAGGGGAGCAAACGGGAUUAGAUACCCCGGUAGUCCUGGCAGUAAACGAUGUAUGCUGGGUGUGAGACUAGCGAUAGUUUCGUGCCGAAGUUAACGCGAUAAGCAUACCGCCUGGGGAGUACGGUCGCAAGAUUGAAACUCAAAUGAAUUGACGGGG